Molecule: unclassified non-coding RNA, 233 nt
Filed under: Hevea brasiliensis (rubber tree)
Lineage: Eukaryota; Viridiplantae; Streptophyta; Magnoliopsida; Malpighiales; Euphorbiaceae
Source: RNAcentral
GUCCAAUCUCUUCUUUGUGGGCAAUUAGGAGCUCAUACCAUUUGCGUAAGCGAUUACUCCGAUCAGCUGCAGUGAGCUUGCUCCAAGACUUAAAAGCAUCAUAAGCUGAAGAAAUAGCAUCAUCGGUCUCCCUUUUGCCCAUGAGCGGGACAUUGGUUAUAACUUCACCAUUAGCUGGAUUGUGAACGCCUUCAUUGAGAACUGCAUUUAACAAACCCGCUAUCUUUUACUGG